GACGAACGCUGGCGGCGUGCUUAACACAUGCAAGUCGAACGGAAAGGCCUGCUUUCCCUUGUGGAUUGCGGGUACUCGCGUGGCGAACGGGUGAGUAACACGUGAGUGAUCUGCCCCCAACUUGGGUAUAAGCCUGGGAAACUGGGUCUAAUUCCCGAUAGGACUGCAGGGUGGUGCCUGUGGUGGAAAACGAUUUUCUAGUGGUUGGGGAUGAGCUCGCGGCCUAUCAGCUUGUUGGUGGGGUAAUGGCCUACCAAGGCGGCGACGGGUAGCCGGCCUGGGAGGGUGGACGGCCACAGUGGGACUGAGAGACGGCCCAGACUCCUACGGGAGGCAGCAGUGGGGAAUAUGGCACAAUGGGCGGAGGCCUGAUGCAGCGACGCCGCGUGGGGGAUGACGGCCUUCGGGUUGUAAACUCCUUUCGACCGCGAGGAAGCCACCUGGUUGGAAGGGUGGUGACGGUAGUGGUAGAAGAAGCACCGGCUAACUACGUG
RNAcentral lists this ribosomal RNA (494 nucleotides) under uncultured bacterium. RNAcentral's name for it is "partial 16S ribosomal RNA". It matches the Rfam family "Bacterial small subunit ribosomal RNA", at positions 28 to 507 of the family's 1533-position model. The record is from RNAcentral.